RNAcentral lists this unclassified non-coding RNA (520 nucleotides) under uncultured Entrophospora. RNAcentral's name for it is "SSU rRNA". It matches the Rfam family "Eukaryotic small subunit ribosomal RNA", at positions 569 to 1083 of the family's 1831-position model. The record is from RNAcentral. Lineage: Eukaryota; Fungi; Glomeromycota; Glomeromycetes; Entrophosporales; Entrophosporaceae.
AGCAGCCGCGGUAAUUCCAGCUCCAAUAGCGUAUAUUAAAGUUGUUGCAGUUAAAAAGCUCGUAGUUGAAUUUCGGGAUUGGCGUAUCGGUCGUGCCUCACGGGGUAUGAACUGGUGCAGUCAAUUUCUCACCUUCUGGAGAACCGCGAUGUCCUUAAUUGGAUGCCGUGGGGAACCAGGACCUUUACUUUGAAAAAAUUAGAGUGUUUAAAGCAGGCAUUUUUGCUUGAAUACAUUAGCAUGGAAUAAUAAAAUAGGACGGCAUGGUUCUAUUUUGUUGGUUUCUAGGACCACCGUAAUGAUUAAUAGGGAUAGUUGGGGGCAUUAGUAUCCAAUUGUCAGAGGUGAAAUUCUUGGAUUUAUUGAAGACUAACUACUGCGAAAGCAUUUGCCAAGGAUGUUUUCAUUAAUCAAGAACGAAAGUUAGGGGAUCGAAGACGAUCAGAUACCGUCGUAGUCUUAACCAUAAACUAUGCCGACUAGGAAUCAGACGAUGUUAAUUUUUUAAUGACUCGUUUGG